Molecule: long non-coding RNA, 2054 nt
Organism: Homo sapiens (human)
Lineage: Eukaryota; Metazoa; Chordata; Mammalia; Primates; Hominidae
Exons: 1
Source: RefSeq, marked validated
CUAACGGGGACGGGAGCAUCACCCAUCUCCCUGAGCAGCAUGGUGAUGGAUUAUUUCCCCAGACCUCCAGAGGAGAGCCCAGCCUGGCCACCACCUUGCCCUGAACCUCGUGAGACCCUAGGUGGAGAGCCCAGCUGCACCUGCCUGGACUUCUGCCUGCAUAGCGGGGAGCCGCUGAGUGGGUGUUAUUUUCAGCUGCUGAGUGUGUGGCAACCUGGUUAGAGCAAUGGAAAACCGAGGCCCCUGCCAUCCUGCUGAGCUGGGUGAGGUUGUAUUUGAAGAAGCAAGCAAGCCGUAACCUCCUGGCUGUCCACCGCAGCGCGCUCCUCACCACAGUUCUUCACUGAUGAAGCAGCCCUCAGCCGUGGCCUGGGGGCACUGGGCCCCUGGGUCCUCCAGACCACUGACAUCUCUUUAAAUGACUCAGCUCGGCCCUGGUUCUCGUCUCACCAGUGGCAUUGUCUGUAAGAGAAACCAGAGGGUCUGUGGGGAAAGUCAUAACCUGUACUGGGGCAUCAGGGUUUGGUGGCUGGGCCACCAGAAUGUGCAAGGGCAGGUGUGGGGAGGGGGCAGCAUGAUGGGGGCAGACCCAUGGGGCUUCCCACAAGUGCACAACCCCCUCUGGCAAGUCCUCUAACCCCAUCCUUUCCUCUGGGGCGGCCUGGAUGGGAAUAUUAGAAAGGCUCGUGGGUGUGAGUUUGCCUGUGGGGUUUACACAUUUACAAUUACAGACCAAGGGCUUGAGCUCUAGGCUCAGCAUCCUCAGACACACUAGGAAUAAAACCCACCUCCCACCCAGGCUGAAGCGAUGCUGCACCUGGGGCUCCAGAGCAGCGGAGUCCGUGGUGAGACCAGACCCCAUCAGAGGGCUGCUCUGCAAAGAGCCCCACGAGGAGGCCUGGUGUCUGAGCGUGGGAAGGCUUCACACAGCAGGGAGGGGACAUCUGUAUAAAGCAAAGAACUGCCCCCCAGGGAGGCCCAGGCAUGAGCACAACAAAGCUCCAAGCCCUGCCUAUGGGGCCUGUUCCACCCUUAACUGGCAACAAUGGGGAGGUGGGCAGCUGAUGCAAGCACUGUGGAGACCGAGUCACCGGGCUCUGGACUCAGGACAGGCAGCAGCAUAGCCGGGGUGCACUCACGGCCCCAGGAUGGGAAACGUGCUCCUUCAAGCACUCGGCCCGCAUCGGCAAGUGCUUUCUGUAGAGGGCACAAUGGUCAGUCGUUCAGGCUUUUGGGGCCACACUGCCUCUGUCACAGCUACUCAGCUCAGCCACUGCUACACAAAAGAUUGUCAAUGAAUGAGUGUGACUGUGGUCCAGGAUAAAUGCUGGAUGUGGCCCUUGGGCUGUAGUGCACCAACCGUCCCCUGAGGUCACGUUUACCCUGCAUUAGAAAUAGCCCUGGCUGGUGUCCAUCUCUGCGCAGGCUGGGCCAGGACCGUCCGAGAGGGGCAGGAAUUGUGGGGCAUCUCUCCCACUCCCCGAGGGUAAGCAGGCAUGGCCACAUAUAGGUGACAGCAGCCUUCUGGUCAGCUCGAGUCAGGUGUGUCACAUCCCUGGGUGGAGUCUGGCCUGGACCCCAAGCCUACAGCCAUCGCAGCCCGGCAGCCGCUGGAGAGAGAAGACUGACACAGCUCUGGGAGCCGUGUGGUGGGGUGGGGGCUGGGUGCCAGGGCCCAGGAGGGUGUCCAGGUGAGCUGCGGGAAGCCUCGGAGGCCUGGCCCCUGAUCCUGGGCUUGCUCCUGCCAACUGGCCAUGGCUGUCUCUGCCCUCCCAGGGCAAUAGUGAGGUCAGACAGGAGAAAAGACAUGCAGACACUCAGCCCCUGUGUCAGGGAAUGGUGGGCGACACAGCCUCUCCACAGAGGACCGAGGCUGAGGGGGUGGGAAGGAGGUGCAGGGAGGUGAGGGUUCUGGGAAGGGAGCCCGGAGUGGUGGAGCCUCUUCCCCAGACUUCAGCAGGAACGGUAUCUUCCCACAGGUGUGACGAGAACUGCUUGAGCUGUGCAGGCUCCAGCAGGAACUGUAGCAGGUGUAAGACGGGCUUCACACAGCU